UGAUCCAGCCAUGCCGCGUGUGUGAUGAAGGCCUUAGGGUCGUAAAGCACUUUCGCCAGAGAUGAUAAUGACAGUAUCUGGUAAAGAAACCCCGGCUAACUCCGUGCCAGCAGCCGCGGUAAUACGGAGGGGGUUAGCGUUGUUCGGAAUUACUGGGCGUAAAGCGCACGUAGGCGGAUUAGUCAGUCAGAGGUGAAAUCCCAGGGCUCAACCCUGGAACUGCCUUUGAUACUGCUAGUCUUGAGUUCGAGAGAGGUGAGUGGAAUUCCGAGUGUAGAGGUGAAAUUCGUAGAUAUUCGGAGGAACACCAGUGGCGAAGGCGGCUCACUGGCUCGAUACUGACGCUGAGGUGCGAAAGUGUGGGGAGCAAACAGGAUUAGAUACCCUGGUAGUCCACACCGUAAACGAUGAAUGCCAGUCGUCGGGUAGUAUACUAUUCGGUGACACACCUAACGGAUUAAGCAUC
This 466-nucleotide ribosomal RNA is filed under the name uncultured Alphaproteobacteria bacterium. RNAcentral's name for it is "bacterial SSU rRNA". It matches the Rfam family "Bacterial small subunit ribosomal RNA", at positions 384 to 868 of the family's 1533-position model. The record is from RNAcentral. Lineage: Bacteria; Pseudomonadati; Pseudomonadota; Alphaproteobacteria.